AAUAAGUGCAGUUUUAUAUUAUUCAUGUUCAACGUUUGACCGUUCGUCUUAUUUGAAAUUUUUUAUGAUUAGUAUUUUUAUUGCUAUUAGAUGAUAAAACAUGAAUAAUACUUUAUGUGUGACUAAAUAUUUCAAAUUUUUCAUAAAUUUUUCAAAUAAGACGGACGGUCAAAGGUUGGGCACGGAUAUCUACGGCUGCGCUUAUU
Oryza nivara is the source of this 206-nucleotide non-coding RNA. The record is from Rfam. NCBI's taxonomy places the organism in Eukaryota, Viridiplantae, Streptophyta, Magnoliopsida, Poales, Poaceae.